GGUGCGAAGAAUGGUAAGAUUGGGUGGAAAAGAGAAUGCUGCACCGCACUGAGAUUGCGUUGAAGAAGGGGUGGACUCACAAUCCUGGUCGCACCCGACGUGGUGGCAAGAACCUGGCCUGGCGGCCAAAGAUCUCAGAUGCGAAGCUGAGCCAGUUUGUGCCCUUAGCGCUGGUGCACCCACGUCGACACCCUAACAACUGGCAAGAGCGGCAGUUCAACGCGCUGGGCUACACCAAGUGGCCGAAGGACAUCGGAUUCUACAACGCCGGCGACAACUUCGAGGUGACGCCCGAGGCGGCGUGGCGCCUGUACGUUCACGCGCGUGAUGAGCCCUAUUGGGGUAAGCUCCACUGCGAGAAGACGAUCAUUACGCUGCUGCCGGUGGUGGAGAAAGCGCCGAAGGAGAACAUGGAGCGAGUUCUGGAUGUGUUCCGGCACUAUCUUAAGCGCUACGGUGCCGACCACUACAUCUACAACGCCGUUAUGCAGGCUGCCGCCUUUGCCAAGAACUACGAGCAGACGGAGCAGCUAUUCAAGGAGAUGGAAACGUUGGGGCUGGAGCCCAACGCUCAGAGUUAUGUGAACAUGAUGCUGGCGGCGAAGCUGUGCGGCCUUCCACCCGAGAAGAGCGAGGCGUACUUCAAGCGGGCCGUGAAGGAUGGGGCGAUGCAGUCUGUCAUGCGCAUGGACACAGAGUUCAGGAUGUGGAUGGACCAGCUGGAUCGCUUGGGCUCCUUCACUGCCUCGUCCGGGUACCUUUCCGUUAACGAGGAAGGCGCCAAGCCAAUGCCUCGUGACAUGUGGGCCAUAUGGGGCUGGCAUCGCAGCGAGAGCAAGUUCAUUAGCCGCCACGACCUCAUUAUGCAACAGGUGCGUGCGCGUGUGCACAGCGGUAAGGAGCUCACUGGCACGGUGUACACCAAGACCCGGCGGCAGCCGUGGGCGAAGUUCAAUGGUAUGCUGCGCCACGACUACAAUGGACCAUCGUACCGUGCCCCUACCACCUUCCCAGAUGCACCCGAGUACACGAACGAGGCGGGGCACAAGGCCUUCUGAUAGCGGUGGAGGGAGAGCGGCGCUCUCCUUUGGAGGCAGCCUUCGCGUGCGUUUGUGCACAAACGCUUCAAGCGAUGCGACUUGUCCGUCGAUUUGUCGACGAUUCACGUCGAAAGCUGUGAAAAGUGCGCAACACUCACGCACGCACACCGCUUGUCCUGCCUCCGCCGUCGGUCCUUUGUCUUAUCUGCUGUGGCCUUAUCACAGGUUUUCUAUUUCUCGUCGUGCUGUCGGGGAAAGAGAAGCGUUUCUCGUGGUGGGCCUUCCUCGAGCCACCGACAAUAAAGGGAGGAGCACCCCUUCCUCCUCAUCCUUGUCCUACCCUCCCCUGCUCUUCCCUGCACAUGUGCAUGUGGGCGUAUUCCAGAGUCGAUGCAAGAGGGUGGUAGGAGGCAUCGGGCCACGUAUGGUUGGCCAGAAUGGAUUGGCGUGCAAGUGGCAAGUUGCGCUAAUGUGCGCUUUUUUUUUCUUUUUGCGUCCCCGACCACUUAAGGG
RNAcentral lists this unclassified non-coding RNA (1553 nucleotides) under Leishmania donovani. RNAcentral describes it as "gene:LdHU3.21.2370(CDS-product:mitochondrial_RNA_ binding_complex_1_subunit_putative)". The record is from RNAcentral. Lineage: Eukaryota; Euglenozoa; Kinetoplastea; Trypanosomatida; Trypanosomatidae.